Molecule: ribosomal RNA, 560 nt
Filed under: uncultured bacterium
Lineage: Bacteria
Description: bacterial SSU rRNA
Rfam family: Bacterial small subunit ribosomal RNA
Source: RNAcentral
GAUGAGCCCGCGUUGGAUUAGCUAGUUGGUGGGGUAAAGGCCUACCAAGGCGACGAUCCAUAGCUGGUCUGAGAGGAUGAUCAGCCACAUUGGGACUGAGACACGGCCCAAACUCCUACGGGAGGCAGCAGUGGGGAAUAUUGGACAAUGGGCGCAAGCCUGAUCCAGCCAUGCCGCGUGAGUGAUGAAGGUCUUAGGAUUGUAAAGCUCUUUCACCGGGGACGAUAAUGACGGUACCCGGAGAAGAAGCCCCGGCUAACUUCGUGCCAGCAGCCGCGGUAAUACGAAGGGGGCUAGCGUUGUUCGGAAUUACUGGGCGUAAAGCGCACGUAGGCGGAUAUUUAAGUCAGGGGUGAAAUCCCGGGGCUCAACCCCGGAACUGCCUUUGAUACUGGGUAUCUUGAGUGUGGUAGAGGUGAGUGGAAUUGCGAGUGUAGAGGUGAAAUUCGUAGAUAUUCGCAGGAACACCAGUGGCGAAGGCGGCUCACUGGACCACAACUGACGCUGAGGUGCGAAGGCGUGGGGAGCAAACAGGAUUAGAUACCCUGGUAGUCCACGCC